GACCCCAAGUCGGAGCCAUAAAAGUUUCUGUCGGAGUCUUUCGUUGUGCUCAGGGGUUUAAACCCUGCAGUUUCGCCCCUGAUUGAAAAACACCUCCUUGGCUUCCACCCCUGGGCCAGGGCGAGGGUCGGCUCUGCCCGCGGCCACACCGUGAGGGGGCUCCUGAGGGAAGGAGGUCGUUGCUUUAUCCCCAGGGACGCCUCGAGUGUUAUUUCUGUGUGAGAGGCCUCUGCCUGUGGUGGGGCAGGGUGGUGUCUGUCACCCACCCGGGCACAACCCCGCUGGGACAGAGCACCUUCUCAUAGAGCCCUGCUGCACUCUGAGAGCUCCUGCACCAUCCUGCUCAAACUGCACAGCAAUUCCAGGCAGCAGCUGGGAACAGAAUGGAGCUUUGUCUGCAAGAUCCAGGCAGUGCCAGUCGGCUCGAUCUGCCUGCAAAAUCCUUCAUUUGGCAGCGCCCAAGAAAAUGGAAAGGACACUAAUAACAGCCAGGGUUGCUCACCAGCAGGAAAGGAGCAGAGGUUCAGCAACAGCUUUGUGUUUUGAGGAAGAGUGUCUAUGUCUGCCUGACACAUGGAGCAGUCACAAGAGGAGAAUGCUCUGGGGAGCUCUUUGGCCUCUGCUGCUUUGUGUCUGUAUUCACGCUCACCACAGCUGUAGUGAUAAUAAUAAUCUCAAACACUUGGGUCAUUUAGAUGGAAAAAUAAAAGCCACAGAAGUCUUUUGGUUACUUCUCGGUGCUCAGUGGCUGACACUAUGUGCAUUGGGAGUGCAUAAACAUUAAAAUCUGGAGAAGCUUUCCAGGUUUAGGCCUUUCCUCAGCAGGAGCUGAAUAAUAAUGUUAAGCUUGUUCUUUUAGUUACAAGGGCACAUUCCAGACGUACAGCUGCCAGGGAGAUCCAGGGAGUAAUUUACAACAAGGAAUAUUCACACUUAGCAGCGCUGCAGCCAAACAUUGGCUCAAAAUAACAACUGGAAGUACGAUGAGUAAAUAAAUAGCAUGAGGAGAUUUUCAGCCACUGUGGCAGGAAAUGUCACUUUGCAUUUGUCAGCGGUCAGCUCCUGCUGCUGUUGGUAGCCAGGCAGUGAGACAGAACAGCUGCCACCGAGCUGGGUAGAGCAAAGCUGUCUCAGGCUCUGCGUGGGCCUUGUUCUCUCUGGACCAAACCUCUCAGCCCUCCCAGCCGCACUGAAUUUCCUCAGCCAACCCACGCAGAUCAAAGCAGGGCGUUUUUCCCCAAAAGCUCUUCCCAGGCUGCUCAUGCUGCCAAGGGGCUGAGCAGGACAGCAGAGGGGAGUGGGCACUGCAGA
Molecule: long non-coding RNA, 1311 nt
Organism: Cyanistes caeruleus (blue tit)
Lineage: Eukaryota; Metazoa; Chordata; Aves; Passeriformes; Paridae
Source: RefSeq, a predicted model, not a curated record